Molecule: ribosomal RNA, 677 nt
Filed under: Salmonella enterica
Lineage: Bacteria; Pseudomonadati; Pseudomonadota; Gammaproteobacteria; Enterobacterales; Enterobacteriaceae
Description: partial 23S ribosomal RNA
Rfam family: Bacterial large subunit ribosomal RNA
Source: RNAcentral
GUUGCAGGGUAUAGACCCGAAACCCGGUGAUCUAGCCAUGGGCAGGUUGAAGGUUGGGUAACACUAACUGGAGGACCGAACCGACUAAUGUUGAAAAAUUAGCGGAUGACCUGUGGCUGGGGGUGAAAGGCCAAUCAAACCGGGAGAUAGCUGGUUCUCCCCGAAAGCUAUUUAGGUAGCGCCUCGUGAAUUCAUCUCCGGGGGUAGAGCACUGUUUCGGCCAGGGGGCCAUCCCGGCUUACCAAUCCGAUGCAAACUGCGAAUACCGGAGAAUGUUAUCACGGGAGACACACGGCGGGUGCUAACGUCCGUCGUGAAGAGGGAAACAACCCAGACCGCCAGCUAAGGUCCCAAAGUCAUGGUUAAGUGGGAAACGAUGUGGGAAGGCCCAGACAGCCAGGAUGUUGGCUUAGAAGCAGCCAUCAUUUAAAGAAAGCGUAAUAGCUCACUGGUCGAGUCGGCCUGCGCGGAAGAUGUAACGGGGCUAAACCAUGCACCGAAGCUGCGGCAGCGAACGUAUCACCCAAGACAACUUUGCACAGUUGACGAUUGACGGAGCGAAGCGACGUCAAAGCGUUUUACAACGUCGAGUUGGCUUAGGGAUACGUUCGUUGGGUAGGGGAGCGUUCUGUAAGCCGUUGAAGGUGGCCUGUGAGGGUUGCUGGAGGUAUCAGAAG